CAUAUCAGUCAUGCAUAGCAUAUCAAUAAGCGGAGGAAAAGAAACUAACAAGGAUUCCCUUAGUAACGGCGAGUGAAGCGGGAAGAGCUCAAAUUUGAAAUCUUCAAGGUUUUACCUUGACGAAUUGUAGUUUAAAGAAGUGUUUUCUGUUGAAGUUUUGGUAAAAGUUCUUUGGAAUAGGACAUCAUAGAGGGUGAGAAUCCCGUAUUUGACCAUUACUUUCAGCUUUGUGAUACACUUUCAAAGAGUCGGAUUGUUUGGGAAUGCAGUCCAAAAUGGGUGGUAAAUUUCAUCUAAAGCUAAAUAUUGGCGAGAGACCGAUAGCGAACAAGUACCGUGAGGGAAAGAUGAAAAGAACUUUGAAAAGAGAGUUAAACAGUACGUGAAAUUGUCAAAAGGGAAGCGUUUGACACCAGUGUUGUUUUCUCGAAAAUCAAUUAAAAAGAGUUGGAUUUUGUGUUGUAUUGACUUUAUCAGGCUUUCUUCACUCUUUUCCAGCUUUUUUUAAUGCACUUUUCGUUUAACAAGUCAACAUCAGUUUCUUUGUUGUAAAAAGGUCAUUGGAAGGUGGCUUUCUCUUCGGAGAAAGUGUUUAUAGCCUUUGACUCAUGCAAUCGGAGAGACUGAGGUCUGCAGCGUAGAUCCUUCGGGGUUAGAUACAUUUGUGCUAAGUUAUAGCUUUUCAUAGACAACUUGUUGACUAUGUUUAGUCUUGUAGCUUACUCGCUUAUGCUAUUUUACCUACGCUUAGGAUGUUGAACUCUAUCACACACAG
RNAcentral lists this ribosomal RNA (775 nucleotides) under uncultured Neocallimastigales. Its description in RNAcentral is "partial large subunit ribosomal RNA". It matches the Rfam family "Eukaryotic large subunit ribosomal RNA", at positions 22 to 621 of the family's 3401-position model. Lineage: Eukaryota; Fungi; Neocallimastigomycota; Neocallimastigomycetes; Neocallimastigales. The record is from RNAcentral.